This 483-nucleotide ribosomal RNA is filed under the name uncultured bacterium. Its description in RNAcentral is "partial 16S ribosomal RNA". It matches the Rfam family "Bacterial small subunit ribosomal RNA", at positions 30 to 507 of the family's 1533-position model. The record is from RNAcentral.
UUGAACGCUGGCGGCAGGCCUCACACAUGCAAGUCGAGCGGAUGAAGGGAGCUUGCUCCUGGAUUCAGCGGCGGACGGGUGAGUAAUGCCUAGGAAUCUGCCUGGUAGUGGGGGAUAACGUCCGGAAACGGGCGCUAAUACCGCAUACGUCCUGAGGGAGAAAGUGGGGGAUCUUCGGACCUCACGCUAUCAGAUGAGCCUAGGUCGGAUUAGCUAGUUGGUGGGGUAAAGGCCUACCAAGGCGACGAUCCGUAACUGGUCUGAGAGGAUGAUCAGUCACACUGGAACUGAGACACGGUCCAGACUCCUACGGGAGGCAGCAGUGGGGAAUAUUGGACAAUGGGCGAAAGCCUGAUCCAGCCAUGCCGCGUGUGUGAAGAAGGUCUUCGGAUUGUAAAGCACUUUAAGUUGGGAGGAAGGGCAGUAAGUUAAUACCUUGCUGCUUUGACGUUACCAACAGAAUAAGCACCGGCUAACUUCGUG